This 252-nucleotide ribosomal RNA is filed under the name uncultured bacterium. Its description in RNAcentral is "partial 16S ribosomal RNA". It matches the Rfam family "Bacterial small subunit ribosomal RNA", at positions 524 to 776 of the family's 1533-position model. The record is from RNAcentral.
UACGUAGGUCCCGAGCGUUGUCCGGAUUUAUUGGGCGUAAAGCGAGCGCAGGUGGUUUAUUAAGUCUGGUGUAAAAGGCAGUAGCUCAACCAUUGUAUGCAUUGGAAACUGGUAGACUUGAGUGCAGGAGAGGAGAGUGGAAUUCCAUGUGUAGCGGUGAAAUGCGUAGAUAUAUGGAGGAACACCGGUGGCAAAAACGGCUCUCUGGCCUGUAACUGACACUGAGGCUCGAAAGCGUGGGGAGCAAACAGG